AGAGUUUGAUCCUGGCUCAGGACGAACGCUGGCGGCGUGCUUAACACAUGCAAGUCGAACGGGAUCCUGGUGCUUGCACCAGGUGAGAGUGGCGGACGGGUGAGUAACGCGUGGGCAACCUGCCCUGUGGAGGGGGAUAGCCUCGGGAAACCGGGAUUAAUACCGUAUGACAUUGAUUAUUCGCAUGGAUGAUCAAUCAAAGGAUUUAUUGCCACAGGAUGGGCCCGCGUCCCAUUAGCUAGUUGGUGAGAUAACAGCUCACCAAGGCGACGAUGGGUAGCCGACCUGAGAGGGUGAACGGCCACACUGGGACUGAGACACGGCCCAGACUCCUACGGGAGGCAGCAGUGGGGAAUAUUGCGCAAUGGGGGAAACCCUGACGCAGCAACGCCGCGUGAGCGAAGAAGGUCUUCGGAUCGUAAAGCUCUGUCUUUGGGGAAGAAAUUUUGACGGUACCCAAGGAGGAAGCCCCGGCUAACUACGUGCCAGCAGCCGCGGUAAUACGUAGGGGGCAAGCGUUGUCCGGAAUCACUGGGCGUAAAGGGCGCGUAGGCGGUAUGAUAAGUCAGAUGUGAAAGUUCGGGGCUCAACCCCGGAAUUGCAUUUGAAACUGUCAUACUUGAGUACUGGAGAGGUAAGUGGAAUUCCUAGUGUAGCGGUGAAAUGCGUAGAGAUUAGGAGGAACACCAGUGGCGAAGGCGGCUUACUGGACAGUUACUGACGCUGAGGCGCGAAAGCGUGGGGAGCGAACAGGAUUAGAUACCCUGGUAGUCCACGCCGUAAACGAUGAGUGCUAGGUGUUGGGGAGACUCAGUGCCGUAGUUAACACAAUAAGCACUCCGCCUGGGGAGUACGGUCGCAAGACUGAAACUCAAAGGAAUUGACGG
RNAcentral lists this ribosomal RNA (887 nucleotides) under uncultured bacterium. RNAcentral describes it as "bacterial SSU rRNA". It matches the Rfam family "Bacterial small subunit ribosomal RNA", at positions 8 to 916 of the family's 1533-position model. The record is from RNAcentral.